UCGAUUUGAGUUUGAUCCUGGCUCAGGACGAACGCUGGCGGCGUGCUUAACACGUGCAAGUCGAACGAUGAAGCCCUUCGGGGUGGAUUAGUGGCGAACGGGUGAGUAACACGUGGGCAAUCUGCCCUUCACUCUGGGACAAGCCCUGGAAACGGGGUCUAAUACCGGAUAACACUUACCUCCUCCUGGGGGUUGGUUAAAAGCUCCGGCGGUGAAGGAUGAGCCCGCGGCCUAUCAGCUUGUUGGUGGGGUAAUGGCCUACCAAGGCGACGACGGGUAGCCGGCCUGAGAGGGCGACCGGCCAUACUGGGACUGAGACACGGCCCAGACUCCUACGGGAGGCAGCAGUGGGGAAUAUUGCACAAUGGGCGAAAGCCUGAUGCAGCGACGCCGCGUGAGGGAUGACGGCCUUCGGGUUGUAAACCUCUUUCAGCAGGGAAGAAGCGCAAGUGACGGUACCUGCAGAAGAAGCACCGGCUAACUACGUGCCAGCAGCCGCGGUAAUACGUAGGGUGCGAGCGUUGUCCGGAAUUAUUGGGCGUAAAGAGCUCGUAGGCGGUCUGUCACGUCGGAUGUGAAAGCCCGGGGCUUAACCCCGGGUCUGCAUUCGAUACGGGCAGACUAGAGUGUGGUAGGGGAGAUCGGAAUUCCUGGUGUAGCGGUGAAAUGCGCAGAUAUCAGGAGGAACACCGGUGGCGAAGGCGGAUCUCUGG
This 713-nucleotide ribosomal RNA is filed under the name uncultured bacterium. Its description in RNAcentral is "bacterial SSU rRNA". It matches the Rfam family "Bacterial small subunit ribosomal RNA", at positions 1 to 732 of the family's 1533-position model. The record is from RNAcentral.